CACCGCGGUUAUACGAGAGGCCCUAGUUGAUAAAUACGGCGUAAAGAGUGGUUAUGGAAUUAUUUUUAUUAAAGCCGAAAGCCCCUUAGACUGUCAUACGCACCCAGAGGCUAGAACCCCACUAAACGAAAGUAGCUUUAUUAAUGCCCACCAGAACCCACGACAGCUGGGACA
Molecule: ribosomal RNA, 174 nt
Filed under: Thryssa vitrirostris (orangemouth anchovy)
Lineage: Eukaryota; Metazoa; Chordata; Actinopteri; Clupeiformes; Engraulidae
Description: partial small subunit ribosomal RNA
Source: RNAcentral